This 478-nucleotide ribosomal RNA is filed under the name uncultured bacterium. RNAcentral's name for it is "partial 16S ribosomal RNA". It matches the Rfam family "Bacterial small subunit ribosomal RNA", at positions 28 to 523 of the family's 1533-position model. The record is from RNAcentral.
GAUGAACGCUGGCGGCGUGCUUAACACAUGCAAGUCGAACGAUUAAAGCCCCUUCGGGGGUGUAUAGAGUGGCGAACGGGUGAGUAACACGUGGGCAAUCUGCCCCUCACACUGGGAUAACUCGAGGAAACUCGUGCUAAUACCGGAUACUCCGGACUGACCACAUGGUCGGUUCGGGAAAGCUCCGGCGGUGAGGGAUGAGCCCGCGGCCCAUUAGCUAGUUGGUGAGGUAACGGCCCACCAAGGCAACGAUGGGUAGCCGCGCUGAGAGGCGGAUCGGCCACACUGGGACUGAGACACGGCCCAGACUCCUACGGGAGGCAGCAGUGGGGAAUUUUGCGGAAUGGGCGAAAGCCUGACGCAGCAACGCCGCGUGCGGGAUGAAGGCCUUCGGGUUGUAAACCGCUUUCAGCAGGGAUGAAAAUGACAGUACCUGCAGAAGAAGCCCCGGCUAACUACGUGCCAGCCGCCGCGGUAA